GAUGAACGCUGGCGGCGUGCCUAAUACAUGCAAGUCGAGCGAACAGACGAGGAGCUUGCUCCUCUGACGUUAGCGGCGGACGGGUGAGUAACACGUGGAUAACCUACCUAUAAGACUGGGAUAACUUCGGGAAACCGGAGCUAAUACCGGAUAAUUUAUUGAACCGCAUGGUUCAAUAGUGAAAGACGGUUUUGCUGUCACUUAUAGAUGGAUCCGCGCCGCAUUAGCUAGUUGGUAAGGUAACGGCUUACCAAGGCGACGAUGCGUAGCCGACCUGAGAGGGUGAUCGGCCACACUGGAACUGAGCCACGGUCCAGACUCCUACGGGAGGCAGCAGUAGGGAAUCUUCCGCAAUGAGCGAAAGCCUGACGGAGCAACGCCGCGUGAGUGAUGAAGGUCUUCGGAUCGUAAACCUCUGUUAUUAGGGAAGAACAAAUGUGUAAGUAACUAUGCACGUCUUGACGGUACCUAAUCAGAAAGCCACGGCUAACUACGUG
This 497-nucleotide ribosomal RNA is filed under the name uncultured bacterium. Its description in RNAcentral is "partial 16S ribosomal RNA". It matches the Rfam family "Bacterial small subunit ribosomal RNA", at positions 28 to 507 of the family's 1533-position model. The record is from RNAcentral.